RNAcentral lists this non-coding RNA (166 nucleotides) under Streptomyces sp. Its description in RNAcentral is "SAM-I sequence". It matches the Rfam family "SAM riboswitch aptamer (S box leader)". Rfam says of the family: The SAM riboswitch is found upstream of a number of genes which code for proteins involved in methionine or cysteine biosynthesis in Gram-positive bacteria. The SAM riboswitch acts at the level of transcription termination control. Lineage: Bacteria; Bacillati; Actinomycetota; Actinomycetes; Kitasatosporales; Streptomycetaceae. The record is from RNAcentral. RNAcentral also lists the same sequence under 1 other name.
AGCUCAUCCAGAGGGGCAGAGGGAAACGGCCCGAUGAAGCCCCGGCAACCCUCCAGUCGGUUCUCGUAGACACCGUCGGUCAGCACUGAUCGUCUCCGCGAGGCUCCCGGCUAGGGAAGGUGCCAAUUCCGUCUCGCGGCGAAAUGCGUCGUGAGGAAGAUGAGGA